CGUCCAGACUCCUACGGGAGGCAGCAGUGAGGAAUAUUGGUCAAUGGGCGCAAGCCUGAACCAGCCAAGUCGCGUGAGGGAUGACGGUCCUAUGGAUUGUAAACCUCUUUUGUCGGGGAGCAAGGCCCGCCACGUGUGGCGGGAAGGAGAGUACCCGAAGAAAAAGCAUCGGCUAACUCCGUGCCAGCAGCCGCGGUAAUACGGAGGAUCCGAGCGUUAUCCGGAUUCAUUGGGUUUAAAGGGUGCGUAGGUUGUUUUAUAAGUUAGCGGUGAAAUACCGAUGCUCAACAUCGGGGCUGCCGCUAAUACUGUAGGACUAGAGAUCGGAUGCAGCAGGCGGAAUGUGUAGUGUAGCGGUGAAAUGCAUAGAUAUUACACAGAACACCGAUUGCGAAGGCAGCUUGCUAGGCCGGAUCUGACACUGAUGCACGAAAGCGUGGGGAUCGAACAGGAUUAGAUACCCCCGUA
RNAcentral lists this ribosomal RNA (468 nucleotides) under uncultured bacterium. Its description in RNAcentral is "bacterial SSU rRNA". It matches the Rfam family "Bacterial small subunit ribosomal RNA", at positions 328 to 792 of the family's 1533-position model. The record is from RNAcentral.